This 1169-nucleotide ribosomal RNA is filed under the name Listeria monocytogenes. RNAcentral describes it as "bacterial LSU rRNA". It matches the Rfam family "Bacterial large subunit ribosomal RNA", at positions 387 to 1556 of the family's 2925-position model. Lineage: Bacteria; Bacillati; Bacillota; Bacilli; Caryophanales; Listeriaceae. The record is from RNAcentral.
GCUUUCCCUCCAGAGUGGAUCCUGAGUACGGCGGAACACGUGAAAUUCCGUCGGAAUCCGGGAGGACCAUCUCCCAAGGCUAAAUACUCCCUAGUGACCGAUAGUGAACCAGUACCGUGAGGGAAAGGUGAAAAGCACCCCGGAAGGGGAGUGAAACAGUUCCUGAAACCGUGUGCCUACAAGUAGUUAGAGCCCGUUAAUGGGUGAUAGCGUGCCUUUUGUAGAAUGAACCGGCGAGUUACGAUUUGUUGCAAGGUUAAGCGGAAAAAGCGGAGCCGUAGCGAAAGCGAGUCUGAAUAGGGCGCAUAAGUAACAGGUCGUAGACCCGAAACCAGGUGAUCUACCCAUGUCCAGGAUGAAGGUAAGGUAAUACUUACUGGAGGUCCGAACCCACGCACGUUGAAAAGUGCGGGGAUGAGGUGUGGGUAGCGGAGAAAUUCCAAUCGAACUUGGAGAUAGCUGGUUCUCUCCGAAAUAGCUUUAGGGCUAGCCUCGAGGUAAAGAGUCAUGGAGGUAGAGCACUGUUUGGACUAGGGGCCCUUCUCGGGUUACCGAAUUCAGAUAAACUCCGAAUGCCAUGUACUUAUACUCGGGAGUCAGACUGCGAGUGAUAAGAUCCGUAGUCGAAAGGGAAACAGCCCAGACCACCAGUUAAGGUCCCCAAAUAUAUGUUAAGUGGAAAAGGAUGUGGGGUUGCUUAGACAACCAGGAUGUUGGCUUAGAAGCAGCCACCAUUGAAAGAGUGCGUAAUAGCUCACUGGUCGAGUGACCCCGCGCCGAAAAUGUACCGGGGCUAAACAUAUUACCGAAACUGUGGAUGAACCUCUUUAGAGGUUCGUGGUAGGAGAGCGUUCUAAGGGCGGUGAAGUCAGACCGGAAGGACUGGUGGAGCGCUUAGAAGUGAGAAUGCCGGUAUGAGUAGCGAAAGAAGGGUGAGAAUCCCUUCCACCGAAUAUCUAAGGUUUCCUGAGGAAGGCUCGUCCGCUCAGGGUUAGUCGGGACCUAAGCCGAGGCCGAUAGGCGUAGGCGAUGGACAACAGGUAGAGAUUCCUGUACCAGUGCUAAUUGUUUAACCGAUGGGGUGACACAGAAGGAUAGGGAAUCGCACGAAUGGAAAUGUGCGUCCAAGCAGUGAGUGUGAGAAGUAGGCAAAUCCGCUUCUCGCGAAG